Molecule: long non-coding RNA, 1142 nt
Organism: Epinephelus fuscoguttatus (brown-marbled grouper)
Lineage: Eukaryota; Metazoa; Chordata; Actinopteri; Perciformes; Serranidae
Exons: 8
Source: RefSeq, a predicted model, not a curated record
GUGUAUUAAAAACAGCAAGAUGUACAACCUGCAGCAGUACCUCCUCCAGCAGCAGAGGGCUGAGUCCUGUCCACCGCCUGCAGAAGUCUCUUCUACAUCGGCUGCUUCCACACACACAUCUAGAUCUCUUGUGAUGGAGGAGGAUGAGGAGCUGGAGAGAGCGAUGUUAAACCUGCCUCCAUCUGAAUUUGACAUUGAAUUCAAGCCACCAGCAGAAGUCUCCAGUGCCCCAGCUGUAUCUCUAUCAACAGGUUUUACUCUAUCAGUGUGGAGGGAGGAUUCUGUUUGAACCAGAAUUCACCUGCCAUUACUGUUCUGUCAACUAGUUUGUUGUUUUGGCCAUGUUCCGGCCUGUUCUGAUGCUUGUGUUCUUUUACUCUCCUACUAACAUAAGGAAUUAACAUGUCAGCGAUGAUGCUCACAGGACAAAGCCAACAGCUACAGCUACUGUUUCCAGACCUGCUGAGCCUAGUGACCCCCCUGUGAAAGCUACAGUGAAGACCCCACUGCCAGUCCCUCCUCAGCUGCUUGCCAUCGCUCCACAACUUGGGAUAGAAGAGCAGACGCCCAAAGUGUUUAGACAAACACAUGAAAAGCCAGUCUCCCACAGUUCAUCUUCUGGGCCUGGGAUAACAGCAGCUCCAUGUCUUCCUGAAGAUUCAUCAUUACAGAAUAUUGCCCCUGUGGAAGCACAAAUAGACACUGUCCUUGAUGAAGCUUCGCCAUGUCCAGCACCUCCUGUCCCAUUAGAUGCCCCACACCAGCCUGCAGCCUCUGUCCCAGGCCAUGAUCAAGAUGUUGCACAGUGGAACUGCUCCCAGCAGCAGAAGAUCUGGAUGAAGACUGAGAUGGAGGCGUUGGGGCUCUGGCCGGGGUCACGCCCAGUACGUCACCUGAUGAACAUGCUGUCCCUGUGGCGUUAUCCACCUCAGCCUGAGCUCAUCGACUCAAUCUCUGAGCUGCCCUCACCAAAGUACUUUCAGCUUCAUCCAUUUUUCAUCUGGAAGCCAGAGCACACAAUCAUGGAGAGGGUUAGAAACAAUUACAUCUUGCCCUGUCUUUAUGGCUGUCCCAACCCUCAGGUAGCUUCCUCUGGCGUCGGAAGGCCCAGAGUCGUCAUUGGCACCAGCGGACAGUAUUAU